GUAUCCUCUCUGACUGGUAUCUCUACCCAGCAGGUAUCCUCUCUCACUGGUAUCUCUACCCAGCAGGUAUACUCUGACUGGUAUCUCUACCCAGCAGGUAUCCUCUCUCACUGGUAUCUCUACCCAGCAGGUAUACUCUGACUGGUAUCUCUACCCAGCAGGUAUAUCUACCCAGCAGGUAUCCUCUCUGACUGGUAUCUCUACCCAGCAGGUAUCCUCUCUCACUGGUAUCUCUACCCAGCAGGUAUCCUCUCUCACUGGUAUCUCUACCCAGCAGGUAUACUCUGACUGGUAUCUCUACCCAGCAGGUAUCCUCUCUCACUGGUAUCUCUACCCAGCAGGUAUCCUCUCUCACUGGUAUCUC
Oncorhynchus keta (chum salmon) is the source of this 364-nucleotide long non-coding RNA. RefSeq lists it as uncharacterized. Lineage: Eukaryota; Metazoa; Chordata; Actinopteri; Salmoniformes; Salmonidae. The transcript has 3 exons. The record is from RefSeq and is a predicted model, not a curated record.